AGAGUUUGAUCCUGGCUCAGAUUGAACGCUGGCGGCGUGCCUAACACAUGCAAGUCGAGCGGUAACAGGUGUAGCAAUACACGCUGACGAGCGGCGAACGGGUGAGUAAUGCUUUGGAAUCUUCCCAGUAGUGGGGAAUAACCAGUCGAAAGAUUGGCUAAUACCGCAUACGUCUGUAAAGGGAAAGCGGGGGCUCGUAAGACCUCGCGCUAUUGGAUGAGCCAAAGUCGGAUUAGCUAGUUGGUGGGGUAAUGGCCUACCAAGGCGACAAUCCGUAGCUGGUCUGAGAGGACGACCAGCCACACCGGAACUGAGACACGGUCCGGACUCCUACGGGAGGCAGCAGUGGGGAAUAUUGGACAAUGGGGGAAACCCUGAUCCAGCGACGCCGCGUGUGUGAAGAAGGCCUGCGGGUUG
RNAcentral lists this ribosomal RNA (417 nucleotides) under uncultured bacterium. Its description in RNAcentral is "bacterial SSU rRNA". It matches the Rfam family "Bacterial small subunit ribosomal RNA", at positions 8 to 425 of the family's 1533-position model. The record is from RNAcentral.